GAAGUAAAAGUCGUAACAAGGUCUCCGUUGGUGAACCAGCGGAGGGAUCAUUACCGAGUUUACAACUCCCAAACCCAAUGUGAACGUUACCAAACUGUUGCCUCGGCGGGAUCUCUGCCCCGGGUGCGUCGCAGCCCCGGACCAAGGCGCCCGCCGGAGGACCAACCAAAACUCUUAUUGUAUACCCCCUCGCGGGUUUUUUUAUAAUCUGAGCCUUCUCGGCGCCUCUCGUAGGCGUUUCGAAAAUGAAUCAAAACUUUCAACAACGGAUCUCUUGGUUCUGGCAUCGAUGAAGAACGCAGCGAAAUGCGAUAAGUAAUGUGAAUUGCAGAAUUCAGUGAAUCAUCGAAUCUUUGAACGCACAUUGCGCCCGCCAGUAUUCUGGCGGGCAUGCCUGUCCGAGCGUCAUUUCAACCCUCGAACCCCUCCGGGGGGUCGGCGUUGGGGAUCGGCCCUCCCUUAGCGGGUGGCCGUCUCCGAAAUACAGUGGCGGUCUCGCCGCAGCCUCUCCUGCGCAGUAGUUUGCACACUCGCAUCGGGAGCGCGGCGCGUCCACAGCCGUUAAACACCCAACUUCUGAAAUGUUGACCUCGGAUCAGGUAGGAAUACCCGCUGAACUUAAGCAUAUCAAUAAGCGGAGG
RNAcentral lists this ribosomal RNA (641 nucleotides) under fungal sp. ARIZ L252. RNAcentral's name for it is "eukaryotic LSU rRNA". The stretch from base 255 to 408 matches the Rfam family "5.8S ribosomal RNA". The record is from RNAcentral. Lineage: Eukaryota; Fungi.